This 270-nucleotide unclassified non-coding RNA is filed under the name Hevea brasiliensis (rubber tree). Lineage: Eukaryota; Viridiplantae; Streptophyta; Magnoliopsida; Malpighiales; Euphorbiaceae. The record is from RNAcentral.
AAGAAAGCCCAAGAAGCAAUUCAAAGCUCUGGCAUUGACACACAACCAGUUCUUUCUGCUGCUAAGACAGUGGCUGAUGCUGCACAACGGACCAACAAGGUAAUUGAAGAGGUGAAACCUAUAGCUUCCUCAACUGUCGAAACCAUUUUGUCAGCAGAUCCUGUUGUGAUUGUAGGAGGUGCUGGAGCAAUUUUUAUUGCAUAUCUGCUCUUUCCUCCCAUAUGGUCCUUCAUCUCCUUCAGCUUCCGUGGUUACAAAGGCAAGCUUACU